Paramisgurnus dabryanus is the source of this 1270-nucleotide long non-coding RNA. RefSeq lists it as uncharacterized. NCBI's taxonomy places the organism in Eukaryota, Metazoa, Chordata, Actinopteri, Cypriniformes, Cobitidae. The record is from RefSeq and is a predicted model, not a curated record.
GUACGUGUGAUGUCACGACGUCAUCAGCAAAUUUGCGCGCGGUGCACAUGCGCAUUGCAAGUAUGCGCAGACAGAUGUCUACGGAGUGGAAAGAAGUUGUUGCAUCUGAUAAUUCUUCAAUCGUGUAGCAGCAACUGCAGCUUACAUGGAAUGAGGAUUAUCGGAUUCAUCUACACUCACUGAUCAUCCAAGGUGAAUUGAUGACCUCAAGCAAAUGGAUGUUGUCAUCUGAAGAGAAGGUUGUCCUGGGCCCAUGUUUAGAGGCAUUUGGGGCAUAUCAGACACGUAUCAGAAUCAAGCUGCAUGCACACUUGAGUUUAUUCAGAGAGAAGUUGUGGGCAUCAGUCCGGAAACUGGAUCAAAAAUUUGCUGCUGGAAUGUGAGACAAAUAAAGGCAUGGAAUGAACCCAAAUGUAUGAACACUGCUACGAAAACUAAUGGACUUUGAAUGGCUUGCCAGUUAAUUCCAAUGGAAUUGAAGAAGAGACUCUGACAAGAUUUUCAAGUUUGUGUUUAAUUUAAAAGUUUAUCUUCAUAGAUAAGCAAUUUAAAGGUAGGCACAGUUAAAACUAUUUCUUGUGUGUUUGUUUAAACUGUAAAUUUAUGACUGAAGUUUGGUCACUAUGUAGUAAUGUGUUCCUUUGUGGUUAAUUAAAUGCUGCAGUGCUUAGUGGUAUUCGUUGUUGUAUUUCCAAGGCUUAAGCCUUAUUUUGUGAUCUGCAUUGUAUUGGAGAGUUUUGGAAACUAAUACUUAUUAUCUUAAUGCAUUGGAAAGUUUUGGACUAUUGAACAAUAAAUGCAUUUGGCUACAUCUGUGAUUUUCUGUUAUUUUAAGUGUUUUAGUUUACAUUACAUUAAAUGAUUUACAGCAGUUAAAAAAAAUUACAGUAAUUUUUUUUACAGUGUAGGCUACCAUGACACAAGUUGCAGCUCCAAAAACAUUUCUUAGUCAAGUUGUAUAGCUACAAGCAGCACAAAACCAAAGAAGUGGAUUUGAUGAAGUCAUGUUGUAGUAUUGCUGAACAAUGUUCACCAGUUAGAGAUUGAGGUGGAAUGUGAGUUAACAGUGGACGUGGUCUUACUUUGCAGCAAGAGCAAAACCCUAAAAGUUUCAAUGCUGAAGAGGGAUACAUUUAAAACACUAUAAAUUUACUGAUUUAUGUAAUUUUACUUACAUUUCUACAGAAAAAUAAUCAAUAAAACAUUUACAGAAAUUUUCUGUAAAAAUAAUUUUUUAAUCUGUAAAAAUGAACGGCAAAUUUCUGUGAAA